This 209-nucleotide non-coding RNA is filed under the name Lachnospiraceae bacterium. Its description in RNAcentral is "6S RNA". It matches the Rfam family "6S / SsrS RNA". From Rfam's summary of the family: E. coli 6S RNA was the first non coding RNA to be sequenced, but its function was unknown until recently. The record is from RNAcentral. Lineage: Bacteria; Bacillati; Bacillota; Clostridia; Lachnospirales; Lachnospiraceae.
AAGCACCUGAGAUGUGCGAUACCUUCUGUGUAUUUGAACCUACAUUUACUUUAAACGGGAAUCCUAUAGAAGAAUCUUCAAUGUCACGCCUUCGGUCCUGCGCAUGCGCAGAUCGGCUAUGGGAGAGGAAGACAGCGAUGGUUUUUGCGGUAACCCACCUGGCAGACAGCUAGGAGUCAAAGAACAGAAGCCGGCAUUUUGGGUGUUUU